Molecule: ribosomal RNA, 500 nt
Filed under: uncultured bacterium
Lineage: Bacteria
Description: partial 16S ribosomal RNA
Rfam family: Bacterial small subunit ribosomal RNA
Source: RNAcentral
AUUGAACGCUGGCGGCAUGCCUUACACAUGCAAGUCGUACGGCAGCGCGGACUUCGGUCUGGCGGCGAGUGGCGAACGGGUGAGUAAUACAUCGGAACGUACCCUGUUGUGGGGGAUAACUAGUCGAAAGAUUAGCUAAUACCGCAUACGACCUGAGGGUGAAAGUGGGGGACCGCACGGCCUCAAGCAGCAGGGGCGGCCGAUGUCUGAUUAGCUAGUUGGUGGGGUAAAGGCCCACCAAGGCGACGAUCAGUAGCUGGUCUGAUAGGACGAUCAGCCACACUGGGACUGAGACACGGCCCAGACGACUACGGGAGGCAGCAGUGGGGAAUUGUGGACAAUGGGGGCAACCCUGAUCCAGCAAUGCCGCGUGUGUGAAGAAGGCCUGCGGGUUGUAAAGCACUUUUGUCCGGAAAGAAAUCGCGCUGGUUAAUACCUGGCGUGGAUGACGGUACCGGAAGAAUAAGCACCGGCUAACUACGUGCCAGCCGUCGCCGUAA